UCAAGCUAAUAAGGGCUAACGGUGGAUACCUAGGCACACGGAAGCGAAGAAGGACGUAGUUACCGACGAAACGCUUCGGGGAGCGGGAAGCAAGCAUUGAUCCGAAGAUAUCCGAAUGGGGCAACCCUAAACACGACCACCUGAAUACAUAGGGUGGAGCGAGCAAACCUGGUGAACUGAAACAUCUUAGUAGCCAGAGGAAAAGAAAGCAACAGCGAUUCCCCCAGUAGCGGCGAGCGAAAAGGGAACAGCCUAAACCAAGUUCUUCGGAACUUGGGGUCGUGGGACAGUAACAAAAGACUGGGAAAUUUAGACGAAGCGGCUGAAAACCGCACCAGAGAAGGUGAAAGUCCUGUAGUCGAAAAAGGAACCAGCUUAACUGCAUCCCGAGUAGCAUGGGGCACGUGAAAUCCCGUGUGAAUCUGCCUCGACCACGAGGUAAGGCUAAAUAUUCCCGUGUGACCGAUAGAGAAACAGUACCGCGAGGGAAAGGUGAAAAGAACCCCGGAAGGGGAGUGAAAUAGAACAUGAAACCGUUAGCCUACAAGCAAUGGGAGGACGAUUGAACGUCUGACCGUGUGCCUGUUGAAGAAUGAGCCGGCGACUUACAGGUUAUGGCAGGUGAAGGGGGAAGACCCCACAGCCCCAGCGAAAGCGAGUCUGAAUAGGGCGAAACGUCAUAAUUUGUAGACCCGAACCCGGGUGAUCUAACCAUGGCCAGGAUGAAGCUUGGGUAAAACCAAGUGGAGGUCCGAACCGACUAAUGUUGAAAAAUUAGCGGAUGAGCUGUGGUUAGGGGUGAAAUGCCAAUCGAACUCGGAGCUAGCUGGUUCUCCCCGAAAUGUGUUGAGGCGCAGCGGUAGUGGAAGUUUAGUCGGGGUAAAGCACUGUUUCGCCGCGGGCUGGGAGACCGGUACCAAGGCGAGGCAAACUCUGAAUACGGCUAAAAAAACUACCAGUGAGACGGUGGGGGAUAAGCUUCAUCGUCAAGAGGGAAACAGCCCAGACCACCAGCUAAGGUCCCCAAAUGAUAACUAAGUGAGAAAGGAGGUGGGAGUGCAUUGACAACCAGGAGGUUUGCCUAGAAGCAGCAACCCUUAAAAGAGUGCGUAAUAGCUCACUGGUCAAGCGCUCCUGCGCCGAAAAUGAACGGGGCUAAGUUAUCUACCGAAGCUGUGGACUACAUUGUAGUGGUAGGGGAGCGUUCUAUAGGGGGUGAAGCAGUAGCGGCAAGCAGCUGUGGACUCUAUAGAAGUGAGAAUGUCGGCUUAAGUAGCGAAAAUGUGGGUGAGAAUCCCACACCCCGAAACCCCAAGGUUUCCUCCGCAAGGCUCGUCCGCGGAGGGUCAGUCAGGACCUAAGGCGAGGCUGAAAAGCGUAGUCGAUGGACAACGGGUUAACAUUCCCGUACCGAUUAAUGAUUGUGCCGGAGAACGGAGAAGGUCAACGUCAGCUGGAUGUUGGUUACCAGUGCAAGCAGUCGAGGCGAUGAGAGGUGGUGAAAACACCAGGAGCUAAGACGCGAGUCCCACCUCCCACGGGAGGGAAGUGGCGCUGAUCAAGCUUCCUAGAAAAGCCCGAACCACGUUAAUCAUUAAUUGCCUGUACCCGAAACCGACACAGGUGGGGAAGUAGAGAAUACUAAGGGGCGCGAGAUAACUCUCUCUAAGGAACUCGGCAAAAUGACCCCGUAACUUCGGGAGAAGGGGUACCCUCGCAAGAGGGUCGCAGUGAAUAGGCCCAGGCGACUGUUUACCAAAAACACAGGUCUCCGCCAAGUCGUAAGACGCAGUAUGGAGGCUGACGCCUGCCCAGUGCCGGAAGGUUAAGGAAGUUGGUCAGGAGUAAUCUGAAGCUGACGACCGAAGCCCCGGUGAACGGCGGCCGUAACUAUAACGGUCCUAAGGUAGCGAAAUUCCUUGUCGGGUAAGUUCCGACCCGCACGAAAGGCGUAACGAUCUGGGCACUGUCUCGGAGAGAGACUCGGCGAAAUAGGAUUGUCUGUGAAGAUACGGACUACCUGCACCUGGACAGAAAGACCCUAUGAAGCUUUACUGUAGCCUGGAAUUGGCUUCGGGCUUCGCUUGCGCAGGAUAGGUGGGAAGCUUUGAAACUCUCCUCGUGGGGAGGGUGGAGCUAACGGUGAGAUACCACUCUGGCGAGGCUAGAAUUCUAACCCUGACCCCUAAUCGGGGCGGGAGACAGUUUCAGGUGGGCAGUUUGACUGGGGCGGUCGCCUCCUAAAAGGUAACGGAGGCGCGCAAAGGUUCCCUCGGUCCCGUUGGAAAUGGGACGAUAGAGUGCAAAAGCAGAAGGGAGCUUGACUGUGAGACCCACAAGUCGAACAGGGACGAAAGUCGGCUUUAGUGAUCCGACGGCACCGCGUGGAAGGGCCGUCGCUCAACGGAUAAAAGUUACUCUAGGGAUAACAGGCUGAUCUCCCCCAAGAGUUCACAUCGACGGGGAGGUUUGGCACCUCGAUGUCGGCUCAUCGCAACCUGGGGCUGAAGUCGGUCCCAAGGGUUGGGCUGUUCGCCCAUUAAAGCGGUACGUGAGCUGGGUUCAGAACGUCGUGAGACAGUUCGGUCCAUAUCCGGUGUAGGCGUAAGAGCAUUGCGAGGAGCCUUCCUUAGUACGAGAGGACCGGGAAGGACGCACCGCUGGUGUACCUGUUAUCGUGCCAACGGUAAACGCAGGGUAGCCAUGUGCGGAGCGGAUAACCGCUGAAAGCAUCUAAGUGGGAAGCCCACCUCCAGAUGAUUGCUCUCAUGGCAUUAAGCCAGUAAGGUCUCGGGUAGACUACCCGUUGAUAGGCUCUAGAUGGAAGCUCGGUAACGAGUGCAGUCGAGGAGUACUAACCGACCGAGGGCUUGACC
This 2876-nucleotide ribosomal RNA is filed under the name Microcystis aeruginosa NIES-4285. RNAcentral's name for it is "23S ribosomal RNA". It matches the Rfam family "Bacterial large subunit ribosomal RNA". Lineage: Bacteria; Bacillati; Cyanobacteriota; Cyanophyceae; Chroococcales; Microcystaceae. The record is from RNAcentral.